CUAAAAUCUCCUAAACCUAGUCCCAUGCAGUAGCCGAACCCUAAACCUAAUUUCUUCUUCAUUUCUUAUCUCUUCCUCCCCUCUUCCAUAUUUGAGGCUCCAACCUCCAUACCAUCUUUGUUUAUGCAUUCUCUCAGGAAUUAAUCUCCCAAUCUCUACUCCCCCCCUUCGUCUAUUCAAUCUUAGUUUCAUUUCUCUCAACUUGUAACUCGCGCAAGCCUUCACCUUCGUCAAAUCCUAUCCAGCUACUGCUAUUGUCUCAAUUGAAGAUCACUAAUUGCCACCACCAUCGUUCUACAAAUCUCUGAGUUGCCACCAUCCAUGGUUUCCUCAGUCUUCCUUUAAUAUUUAUGGUCGUUGGUAUGGUUCUCUCCACCGUACCUGUGUUAGCUUAAAAUUUUGAGUGGUAUAUAUUGGUUGAAGACAAAUUUGGGCAUGACUUUGAGAUAUUCUGGUGGCUUGGUGGCUUUGAUAUUUUAGAUUCUUUGUCUUGGUGGCUUCAAGGUAUAUUUCUAUGAUUAAUAGCGAUUAAAUUCCCAAUAUUAUGAAGGAUUGAUGAUGAUUCAUUAUUUUGAGGCAGUUGUUUGAGACAUAUUUUCUUAAUAUUUUGUAUACUUGAUUUAAGGUUUCUUAUUGUUAUUUAUUUUUUUUAUUUUUUUUUGCAUUUUGACUCUAAUUUUGGAUCUCUAUACUGUGUUAUUGGUAGUUUCAUUUUUGCAUUCUUUGGCAUUAAGCACUCAAUAUAUAUAUAGAAAGAAAUUCAUUAUUGCAAAUCCAUCUCUUUUUAAGUUUGGUUUAGUCUCUAUUUUGCCUUUUGCCAAUGAUAUUUGAAUAAUGAGUAUGAUUAUCUUAUGUUGCCGAUUACGAGACUUGGUGUGCUCAUAUUUUAUUUUUUAAAAUAAGACUCUAUACCAAGUGUAGUCACGAAUGCCCAUAAUAGGUCAUUACUUUUAUGAAAUCCUUGUGAUGAUUAAAUUUGGAGAUAUUUUAUUUUUUUGUAUUUGUAACAUCGUUGACCUCCAACUCUUUGAAACAUUGUCAAAGUCCAUCUCAAAAACUCU
Long non-coding RNA from Humulus lupulus (European hop), 1061 nucleotides. RefSeq lists it as uncharacterized. The record is from RefSeq and is a predicted model, not a curated record. NCBI's taxonomy places the organism in Eukaryota, Viridiplantae, Streptophyta, Magnoliopsida, Rosales, Cannabaceae. The transcript has 2 exons.